RNAcentral lists this ribosomal RNA (440 nucleotides) under uncultured bacterium. RNAcentral's name for it is "partial 16S ribosomal RNA". It matches the Rfam family "Bacterial small subunit ribosomal RNA", at positions 338 to 795 of the family's 1533-position model. The record is from RNAcentral.
CCUACGGGAGGCAGCAGUAGGGAAUAUUGCUCAAUGGGGGAAACCCUGAAGCAGCAACGCCGCGUGGAGGAUGAAGGUUUUCGGAUUGUAAAAUCCUUGUGUUAGAGAAGAUAAUGACGGUAUCUAACGAAUAAGCACCGGCUAACUCCGUGCCAGCAGCCGCGGUAAUACGGAGGGUGCAAGCUCUACUCGGAAUCACUGGGCGUAAAGAGCGCGUAGGCGGGAUCGCAAGUGAGAUGUGAAAUCCUAUGGCUUAACCAUAGAACUGCAUAUGAAACUGUUAUUCUAGAGUAAGGGAGGGGUAAGUGGAAUUCUUGGUGUAGGAGUGAAAUGCGUAGAGAUCGAGAGGAAUACUCGUGGCGAAGGCGAGCUGCUAGAACUUAACUGACGCUGAUGCACGAAGGCGAGGGGAGCGAAAGGGAUUAGAUACCCCAGUAGUC